This 31-nucleotide non-coding RNA is filed under the name Rattus norvegicus (Norway rat). Lineage: Eukaryota; Metazoa; Chordata; Mammalia; Rodentia; Muridae. The record is from RNAcentral.
UCCCUGACGUGAGGGCGUCUAACCCUCCCUC